This 650-nucleotide ribosomal RNA is filed under the name Enterococcus casseliflavus. RNAcentral describes it as "bacterial SSU rRNA". It matches the Rfam family "Bacterial small subunit ribosomal RNA", at positions 56 to 679 of the family's 1533-position model. The record is from RNAcentral. Lineage: Bacteria; Bacillati; Bacillota; Bacilli; Lactobacillales; Enterococcaceae.
UGCAGUCGAACGCUUUUUCUUUCACCGGAGCUUGCUCCACCGAAAGAAAAAGAGUGGCGAACGGGUGAGUAACACGUGGGUAACCUGCCCAUCAGAAGGGGAUAACACUUGGAAACAGGUGCUAAUACCGUAUAACACUAUUUUCCGCAUGGAAGAAAGUUGAAAGGCGCUUUUGCGUCACUGAUGGAUGGACCCGCGGUGCAUUAGCUAGUUGGUGAGGUAACGGCUCACCAAGGCAACGAUGCAUAGCCGACCUGAGAGGGUGAUCGGCCACACUGGGACUGAGACACGGCCCAGACUCCUACGGGAGGCAGCAGUAGGGAAUCUUCGGCAAUGGACGAAAGUCUGACCGAGCAACGCCGCGUGAGUGAAGAAGGUUUUCGGAUCGUAAAACUCUGUUGUUAGAGAAGAACAAGGAUGAGAGUAAAAUGUUCAUCCCUUGACGGUAUCUAACCAGAAAGCCACGGCUAACUACGUGCCAGCAGCCGCGGUAAUACGUAGGUGGCAAGCGUUGUCCGGAUUUAUUGGGCGUAAAGCGAGCGCAGGCGGUUUCUUAAGUCUGAUGUGAAAGCCCCCGGCUCAACCGGGGAGGGUCAUUGGAAACUGGGAGACUUGAGUGCAGAAGAGGAGAGUGGAAUUCCAUGUGUAGC